Molecule: non-coding RNA, 605 nt
Organism: Vicugna pacos (alpaca)
Lineage: Eukaryota; Metazoa; Chordata; Mammalia; Artiodactyla; Camelidae
Source: RefSeq, a predicted model, not a curated record
GCAGGCAGCAAAGCUCCGAGGGGGCCUGGAAGAGCCCCGCAGGGACAAAUGGGGCUCUCCGUUAAUUCCGUCUCCGCUGUGCGCCAGCCGAAGUAGGAGCACGUUCGGAGAGAAAUGUGCCAGGAGAGCUGGCGCUUCAACUAAGCCUUGAAGAACGGGCCCGAUUCCACCGGGGUGAGGGCUUUCCAAGCAAAAGGAACUGCGUGACCAAAGGCAGGUAAUUUCCAGACCCGUCCAGGAAGCAGCAAGCUGGCCAGAGCCGCGGAGCCAUCCGCUUUGUCCGAGGAGCAGCGGGGGCGCCGCGGCAAAGAUGGAGAAACCAAGGUCCAGAGAUUUAAACAGGUUCAUCAAGGACGGAAGACUAUUUGUCCAGCUUCAAAACCCACAUCCUUAAACCACACCACACUCAAGCGAAUUAAGUGGAAAUAACCCAGCUCUGCCCUUCUUCACCUGCUUGCCAGGAGGCUCACUGUGGAGAAGACACACUCAAUACUGCAAAGGUAUUGUCUUUGCCAAUACAAUUGGCCCUUGGUAUCUGCAGGAUUCAACCAAUCUCAGAUCAAAAAUGUUCAAAAAAAAAAAAAACUUCCCGAUAAAGAACAUGA